UACGAGGGGGGCAAAUGUUGUUCGGAAUCACUGGGCGUAAAGGGAGCGUAGGCGGGCUUCUAAGUUGGAUGUUUAACCCCGGGGCCCAACCCCGGAUCGGCAUCCAAAACUGGAAGUCUUGAAUAGUGGAGAGGACGGCGGAAUUCCCGGUGUAGCGGUGAAAUGCGUAGAGAUCGGGAGGAAGGCCGGUGGCGAAGGCGGCGCUCUGGACAGUUACUGACACUGAGGCACGAAGGCCAGGGGAGCAAACGGG
This 253-nucleotide ribosomal RNA is filed under the name uncultured bacterium. Its description in RNAcentral is "partial 16S ribosomal RNA". It matches the Rfam family "Bacterial small subunit ribosomal RNA", at positions 524 to 776 of the family's 1533-position model. The record is from RNAcentral.